This 505-nucleotide ribosomal RNA is filed under the name uncultured bacterium. RNAcentral describes it as "partial 16S ribosomal RNA". It matches the Rfam family "Bacterial small subunit ribosomal RNA", at positions 28 to 507 of the family's 1533-position model. The record is from RNAcentral.
GACGAACGCUGGCGGCGUGCCUAAUACAUGCAAGUGGGACGCAAGGACACACACUGUGCUUGCACACCGUGUUUUCUUGAGUCGCGAACGGGUGAGUAACGCGUAGGUAACCUGCCUAUUAGCGGGGGAUAACUAUUGGAAACGAUAGCUAAUACCGCAUAAUAUUAAUUAUUGCAUGAUAAUUGAUUGAAAGAUGCAAGCGCAUCACUAGUAGAUGGACCUGCGUUGUAUUAGCUAGUUGGUAAGGUAAGAGCUUACCAAGGCGACGAUACAUAGCCGACCUGAGAGGGUGAUCGGCCACACUGGGACUGAGACACGGCCCAGACUCCUACGGGAGGCAGCAGUAGGGAAUCUUAGGCAAUGGACGAAAGUCUGACCGAGCAACGCCGCGUGAGUGAAGAAGGUUUUCGGAUCGUAAAGCUCUGUUGUAAGUCAAGAACGUGUGUGAGAGUGGAAAGUUCACACAGUGACGGUAGCUUACCAGAAAGGGACGGCUAACUACGUG